RNAcentral lists this transfer RNA (65 nucleotides) under Ornebius fuscicerci. Its description in RNAcentral is "tRNA-Tyr". It matches the Rfam family "tRNA". Rfam says of the family: Transfer RNA (tRNA) molecules are approximately 80 nucleotides in length. The record is from RNAcentral. Lineage: Eukaryota; Metazoa; Arthropoda; Insecta; Orthoptera; Mogoplistidae.
GGUAAAAUGGCUGAGGUUAGGCGAUAAAUUGUAAAUUUAUUUACGAGAUUGAAUCUCUUUUAUCA